RNAcentral lists this ribosomal RNA (869 nucleotides) under uncultured archaeon. RNAcentral describes it as "bacterial SSU rRNA". It matches the Rfam family "Archaeal small subunit ribosomal RNA", at positions 1 to 878 of the family's 1478-position model. The record is from RNAcentral.
CUCCGGUUGAUCCCGCCGGACCCGACUGCUAUCAGAGUGGGACUAAGCCAUGCGAGUCAACGCCGCAAGGCGUGGCAUACGGCUCAGUAACACGUAGUCAACAUGCCCAGGGGACGUGGAUAACCUCGGGAAACUGAGGAUAAACCGCGAUAGGCCAAGGUUUCUGGAAUGGACACUGGCUGAAACCUAUAUGGCCCCUGGAUUGGACUGCGGCCGAUCAGGCUGUUGGUGAGGUAAUGGCCCACCAAACCUGUAACCGGUACGGGCUUUGAGAGAAGGAGCCCGGAGAUGGGCACUGAGACAAGGGCCCAGGCCCUAUGGGGCGCAGCAGGCGCGAAACCUCUGCAAUAGGCGAAAGCUUGACAGGGUUACUCUGAGUGAUGUCCGCUAAGGGCAUCUUUUGGCACCUCUAAAAAUGGUGCAGAAUAAGGGGUGGGCAAGUCUGGUGUCAGCCGCCGCGGUAAUACCAGCACCCCGAGUGGUCGGGACGAUUAUUGGGCCUAAAGCAUCCGUAGCUUGUUCUGCAAGUCCUCCGUUAAAUCCACCUGCUCAACAGAUGGGCUGCGGGGGAUACUACAGGGCUAGGAGGCGGGAGAGGCAAACGGUACUCAGUGGGUAGGGGUAAAAUCCUCUGAUCCACUGAAGACCACCAGUGGCGAAGGCGGUUUGCCAGAACGCGCUCGACGGUGAGGGAUGAAAGCUGGGGGAGCAAACCGGAUUAGAUACCCGGGUAGUCCCAGCUGUAAACGAUGCAGACUCGGUGAUGGGUUGGCUUCGAGCCAACCCAGUGCCGCAGGGAAGCCGUUAAGUCUGCCGCCUGGGGAGUACGGUCGCAAGACUGAAACUUAAAGGAAUUGGCGGGGGGAGCA